RNAcentral lists this ribosomal RNA (460 nucleotides) under uncultured bacterium. RNAcentral describes it as "partial 16S ribosomal RNA". It matches the Rfam family "Bacterial small subunit ribosomal RNA", at positions 338 to 795 of the family's 1533-position model. The record is from RNAcentral.
CCUACGGGUCGCUGCAGUGAGGAAUAUUGGUCAAUGGACGAGAGUCUGAACCAGCCAAGUAGCGUGAAGGAUGACUGCCCUAUGGGUUGUAAACUUCUUUUAUAUGGGAAUAAAAUGUUUCACGUGUGGGAUUUUGUAUGUACCAUAUGAAUAAGGAUCGGCUAACUCCGUGCCAGCAGCCGCGGUAAUACGGAGGAUCCGAGCGUUAUCCGGAUUUAUUGGGUUUAAAGGGAGCGUAGGUGGAUUGUUAAGUCAGUUGUGAAAGUUUGCGGCUCAACCGUAAAAUUGCAGUUGAAACUGGCAGUCUGGAGUACAGUAGAGGUAGGCGGAAUUCGUGGUGUAGCGGUGAAAUGCUUAGAUAUCACGAAGAACUCCGAUUGCGAAGGCAGCUCACUGGACUGCAACUGACACUGAGGCUCGAAAGUGUGGGUAUCAAACAGGAUUAGAUACCCCGGUAGUC